GAUGAACGCUGGCGGCGUGCCUAAUACAUGCAAGUCGAGCGAACAGACGAGGCGCUUGCUCCUCUGACGUUAGCGGCGGACGGGUGAGUAACACGUGGAUAACCUACCUAUAAGACUGGGAUAACUUCGGGAAACCGGAGCUAAUCCCGGAUAAUAUAUUGAACCGCAUGGUUCAAUAGUGAAAGACGGUUUUGCUGUCUCUUAUAGAUGGAUCCGCGCCGCAUUAGCUAGUUGGUAAGGUAACGGCUUACCAAGGCAACGAUGCGUAGCCGACCUGAGAGGGUGAUCGGCCACACUGGAACUGAGACACGGUCCAGACUCCUACGGGAGGCAGCAGUAGGGAAUCUUCCGCAAUGGGCGAAAGCUUGACGGAGCAACGCCGCGUGAGUGAUGAAGGUCUUCGGAUCGUAAAACUCUGUUAUUAGGGAAGAACAAAUGUGUAAGUAACUAUGCACGUCUUGACGGUACCUAAUCAGAAAGCCACGGCUAACUACGUG
RNAcentral lists this ribosomal RNA (497 nucleotides) under uncultured bacterium. RNAcentral's name for it is "partial 16S ribosomal RNA". It matches the Rfam family "Bacterial small subunit ribosomal RNA", at positions 28 to 507 of the family's 1533-position model. The record is from RNAcentral.